UACAGAGGGGGCAAGCGUUGUUCGGAAUUACUGGGCGUAAAGGGCGCGUAGGCGGCCUUCUAAGUCGAACGUGAAAUCCCCGGGCUCAACCCGGGAACUGCGUCCGAGACUGGAAGGCUCGAAUCCGGGAGAGGGAUGUGGAAUUCCAGGUGUAGCGGUGAAAUGCGUAGAUAUCUGGAGGAACACCGGUGGCGAAGGCGACGUCCUGGACCGGCAUUGACGCUGAGGCGCGAAAGCCAGGGGAGCAAACGGG
This 253-nucleotide ribosomal RNA is filed under the name uncultured bacterium. RNAcentral describes it as "partial 16S ribosomal RNA". It matches the Rfam family "Bacterial small subunit ribosomal RNA", at positions 524 to 776 of the family's 1533-position model. The record is from RNAcentral.